Long non-coding RNA from Rhineura floridana, 569 nucleotides. RefSeq lists it as uncharacterized. The record is from RefSeq and is a predicted model, not a curated record. The transcript is spliced from 4 exons. Lineage: Eukaryota; Metazoa; Chordata; Lepidosauria; Squamata; Rhineuridae.
UUUAUAUUUGUGUCUGGCAUGCAUUAGCCACACUAUUUGGCAUCUGCAAUUUCAGUACAAGUUUGUUUAACAUUGUGUGAGACUCUCCAGUCAUUCUUCUUGCUUUGUCAUAUCAGCUAUUAAGGAUGAUGACAUUUGAAAGUGCCUGGACAAAACUGAUACAUAAAGGAGGAAGCGGGACAAGAGACAAGAGAUAUUAUGCCCCCAGAGGAAGAACAUUGUGUCAUGGGAUGACCAAGCACCAAAAUAAAGAUGCCUUAAAGAGCCACUGCUGCAGGAACAACACAAUUUGCUACUCACUUGCUGCUUGGAUUCAGAUGUCAGGGAUGAAGAAGUGUGUGUUUACUGAGCAGUGUUACCUUGCAACAGUGUAAGUUCUUUAAUAAUAACUCCAAUGCAUGACUGUAAUGAAAAAGACAGAACACUGUACAACUGCUGUGCUCUCCUCUCCAGAAGAUCCAGACUCUGUAAAUCCCACCACUCAAGAAAGGGGCAGAAGAAAACAAAAGUGAUUUUAGAUCUGACUUACCUUUGUUUCACAAUUAUUAAUAAACAUUUGGAAUUAUUAA